Molecule: unclassified non-coding RNA, 2761 nt
Filed under: Haliotis rufescens (red abalone)
Lineage: Eukaryota; Metazoa; Mollusca; Gastropoda; Lepetellida; Haliotidae
Description: major facilitator superfamily domain-containing protein 8-like, transcript variant X2
Source: RNAcentral
AGACUGUAUGGAAAGAAAGGUGACAGUUUCUCGUGAUGUGACGAAAAGACCAUUGGAAAAUGGUGUCGCUGAAAGCUAAGAAAAGGUUGACUUAUUUUACAAUAGGUACAUACUUUUUCAUGGGAGGAGUCGAAUAUGCUGUGAUCCUGCCCAGUGCCUGGUUGUACCUCCACAACCGCUUCAGUGCGGAGGAGUACUUCCUGGGUCUCAUGCUGUCCGCCUUCAGCUUCUCAGGGAUGUUUGCUGGGCCCCUGAUGGGCAGAUGGGCAGACAAGUCGCGCCGAGUGAGGGUUAUACUACUGUUUGCUGCACUGUUCGAAAUCGGAGGCAGCUUCAUGUACUUCAUAGGAAUGUCCAAGUGGUUCCUGGUUGCCAGUCGACUGGUUGCAGGUGUUGGCGUUGGCGGUGAGGCUGUGAUUUUGGCAGAGAUUGCCCGCUUCACCACAGAACAAGAGAGGACAUCGGUCAUCUCAAUACUAAUAGCUGUCCGUCAGUGUGGGCUGUUGCUAGGCCCUGGCUUCAACUUCUUCCUGUCACUGGUAGACUUCUACAUUGGACCAUUCCCAGUGGACAGGUUUUCAUCACCAGGGCUUCUUAUGGCCUUUAUGUGGGUGAUCAUGGAGCUGCUGUUGCUGCUUCUCUUCUCGGAACCGGGAGUGAUAUUCCGGCAGAUGCGUGUGAUGAAUCAAGUGGAGACAGCGUACACACCGCUGUCAGACGAAGAGGAGGAACAGUACACAGAGAUUCCCCCUCAAACCGUCACGUACGACGAUGUGUACCCAGACUUGACUUGCAACACCCCCGCCAGUGCUAUCCCUACAGCCAUUCAGAGCACUGAGUGUGUUCCUAAUGGAGGUACAAGCACCGCGACACCAAACAUGUAUGGCUCUAUUGGCAACGCAUCAAUAUCCGAUAUAUCGGUAGCAAGCUACGGGUCUGUUGGUGAUGAAUCGCUAGGCACUGUAUCUAUUGGAAAUUCCUCUGAACUUAUUGAGUCUGCAGAAAGACUUAUGCAAAGUGACUCUUCGGGGGUCAGUGAGAAGGGCAAAGUAACAAGUCGACAGAACAGUCGCAGUAGAAAACUAAAAGCACUUUUAGAUUCCAAGGAACAUUCAGUGUUGCCAAGAAUAGAAAGUGUCUCCGAUGUGAAGGAUCCUUUCACCGAAGGAAGACUUAAGUUCUUAUAUGAUGAAUAUAUUCGAGAAGAAAUAGUUGUACUGUUAGGAUUACAGUUUAUAACUAUAUUUGCUCAGGUGACACUAGAGACUAUGUUAACUCCGUUGACAGACAAGUUGCUGCACUGGAAUGAACUUCAGAACAGCUUCCUGUACUGUGGGGCGGGCGUGGAGAUCAUCUUAAUAUUUGUACUGACAAGCUGGUUGAGUCGAAAGAUCGAAGAUCGUUAUUUGAUUGCGAUAGGCGGCUUCAUUCUGACGUCUGCCAACGUGUGGUACCUCUACUUCCUGCCUUCUUGUACCCCAGAUAACCCGGGCUGGACGUUACCAGGUUUUAUUGCUGGCACUAUCCUAGAUGUGGCCGGUCUGCCUUUCCUGUUGGUGUGUGGGGUGUCACUGUAUUCUAAACUCACACGCAAGGAAACACAGGGUUUGAGCCAGGGUAUACGACGUAGUGUGACGGGUAUUGGCACCAUCAUGGCGCCGCUGUGGGCGGGGUCUACCAUCUCCAUGCUGUACCUCAAUGUGGGGGUGCUAGUGGCUAUACUGUUUAUAUCACAGGUGAUGCUGUGGUUGUCCUUCAAGAGGCUGAAGCCUCCCCAGUCAGCUCCCUCACCCCCACCAGCAUCCAACCCUGGAGACAUCGCCACGGAGAGGCAGCCAUUGAUUGGAUGAACUCAUAUGUCAUGACUUGUCAGAGAUCUCAAGCCAUGCUACAGGGGUCACAACACUGUCACAGAAGCGGCCAUUAAUGGGAUGAAUUUAGAUCAGGGGUGUUCAAAUACCAAAAUUUCCCAUUUGUCGAAGGGCAAGUAAACUUCUGUUUGCCCAGUCUGAUUUUCAACUAACACUCCUACUAAAUCCUACUAUAAUAGUCUCAGGUGCCGUGAUUCGCUGUGGGAAUCCUAUGAUUGUGGGUUCGAAUCCCGGUUCGCCCUGAUUAUGUUUCUUGGUGUUGUCAGCACCAUAACCAUGCUCGUCGGUUUCACUAAAGUAGUAAGAGACCUUACUGAGACCUGCAUCACUUCGGGCUUUCCUCCCACAUUAAGCUGACAUGCCGCGAUAAAACUGGAAUAAUGUGCUAUAUUUAAUUGAGGUAUGACGAAAGGCCAUCAAUUAGCCAUCACUAAUGGGGGUAUGACCAACAGCUAUCGGUUAGCCAUAACUAUUAAUGGGGGUAUGACCAACAGCUAUCAAUGUGCUAUAUUUAAUUGAGGUAUGACGAAAGGCCAUCAAUUAGCCAUAACUAAUGGGGGUAUGACUAACAGCUAUCAAUGUGCUAUAUUUAAUUGAGGUAUGACGAAAGGCCAUCAAUUAGCCAUAACUAAUGGGGUAUGACUAACAGCUAUCAAUUAGCCAAAACUAAUGGGGGUAUGACUAACAGCUAUCAAUAAGCUAUAACUAAUUGAGGUAUGACUUAACGGCUAUCAAUAAGCUAUAACUAAUGGGGGUAUGACUAACAGCUAUCAAUGUGCUAUAACUAAUUGAGGUAUGACGAAAGGCCAUCAAUUAGCCAUAACUAAUGGGGGUAUGACUAACAGCUAUCAAUGUGCUAUAACUAAUUGAGGUAUGACUUAACGGCUAUC